AUUGAACGCUGGCGGCAGGCCUAACACAUGCAAGUCGAACGAGUGGCGGACGGGUGAGUAAUGUCUGGGAAACUGCCCGAUGGAGGGGGAUAACUACUGGAAACGGUAGCUAAUACCGCAUACCAUCGGAUGUGCCCAGAUGGGCUUAGCUAUUCGGUGGGGUCAUGGCGCACCUCGGCGCCGAUCCCUAGCUUGUCUGAGAGGAUGCCCAGCAACACUGGAACGUAGACACGGUCCAUAAGCCUAUGUGAGGCAGCAGUGGGGAAUAUUGCACGAUGGGCGCAAUCCUGAGGCAUCCAGUCCGCGUGUAUGAAGAAGGCCUUGGGGUUGUAAAGUACUUUCAGCGAGGAGGCGUUACUCGCAGAAGAAGCACCGGCUAACUCCGUGCCAGCAGCCGCGGUAAUAC
This 406-nucleotide ribosomal RNA is filed under the name uncultured bacterium. RNAcentral's name for it is "partial 16S ribosomal RNA". It matches the Rfam family "Bacterial small subunit ribosomal RNA", at positions 30 to 526 of the family's 1533-position model. The record is from RNAcentral.